Molecule: long non-coding RNA, 1757 nt
Filed under: Zea mays
Lineage: Eukaryota; Viridiplantae; Streptophyta; Magnoliopsida; Poales; Poaceae
Description: long non-coding RNA (ZMAY_LNC004353)
Source: RNAcentral
AGAAGGCCGUGCCCACCGGCACUUAACACCAUCCAUGGCAGCACAAUACUAAUACCUGCAACAACGUGGGUUCGAAAACCUUGAUUAAGAAGUGUACUUUCGCAAGUCUUACCCGUCUAAGGAAAAAUACUCUCAAGAAUAUGAUGGCUUUUGGGAAUCAAGAUAAGGCUAAGCAAUAAUCAAGGACUCAUUUUGCAGAAACGCUUACUAAUAGUGGAUCCUUAAGCCAUCUUUUAAUUAUCAAGUUAAGUUCUUACCUGAUUCUAAAUUUGCCUAAUCUAGAUCAUUCACUUGUCCUGAUCUAGCUUUAUUUUAGCCAAUUCAUAUUUCACUUAAUAACUACGAUGAGUGGUCAGUGAGUUGAGUCUCCAUAACUGAGGAGCAAGGACGAUUCGAACCGAUUAUACCCAGAUGGGGAUCCCUAACCACACGACAUAUGUAGCACUUAACCCUUGCAUAUGUCAACCGUUCCCACAGAUCCUCCACAACGUGAACCGGUCCGCGCUACCUGGGAGCAUGGUACUCCUCCGUCUAGCCUCUAGCCAGGAGGGUACACGCUACUCCCACCAUCUCCCACGCCUAGUGCGCGGUUGUCUUUUCACGUAUGGAAUAGCCGGGUUCAGGCUUACCAGAGCAUGUGGCUAGUUGCAAAGUCUCACCUCAUCAGGCCUACAUCGAACGGUCCUUAAUCGACAUAGACGGGCGAACUUUCCUGCUCAACGUCUGGUCUACAUUACAUAUUAUUUUCCUAAAACUUGAUACCUGAGAGAGGUAUCCUACUUGAAUGAUGAAAUCAUCGCGGCCGCAAUGGGUUCAUCAUCACAAGUCCUUUUAUUUCACAAACUCCCAUAUCCCGUGUUAGACAUCAUCUUUUAAAAACCAUCCUAAAUUAAUAAGCAGGGCUAAGCAUCACUAAAUUUUCAUAAAAUAGGUAUUAGAGUUGUUUAAUCAAGGAAGGAAAUGCAUCAACUGUUUGAUCACACAACUCCUAUCACUUAAUGCAUCAUUCAAGGUGAUAAAACUUUUUAAAACUAAAGGAGGUGGCAAAUGCACUGGGGCUUGCCUGGAUAACACUAGGUUAGUGUUGUUAGACGACGUCCGCUUGACGACCAUCUUUUGUCUUGACAUUCGUCAGAUUAUCCAUCUUCAGGUUCGUCCGACUGACGACGUCGUCUUGCGGAGAUGUCCACUCCUAGCACCAUCUUGAGGUCAACUUGGCUCGUCUUCCGCAUCACGCGAUCAAUUAAUGUACCUCAUGGGAUGCACGAUGCACAUGUAUGAGCACAAGUAUAAAUAGUACAAGAUAGAUAAUCUACACUAAAAAGGAUGAAACACUUAUAACCAAGCAUAUUUUAUACAAUAUACCAAUUACAACUUUAGAACUAAAAGACCUAAAGUGUUUAUACGCAUUACUUAUCAGGCAGAUCCUAGAUUUUGGUUGAAACAAAUAUAUCGAUGUUACUUGAUCCGAAAUAUUCGAUGUAGCAAUCAACAUCCAUUGAAAUCAUGAAAUCAACCAGCACAUAUGCAUGCCUGGUUUAGAGAGCACACUAAUUGACUUACAAUUUUAGCUUCACGAUUCUGGGACAUCUAAUGUUUAUAAAAUUCAUCGAAGAACUUUUAUUAACUUUCUAAACUAAUUUUCCGGCUAACCUAUGUAUUACACAUAUUAAUAAAACAUUAUAUUUUUGACACCUACAGUCCCGCAAGCACUGGGACCUAUUGUGACCUCUUUCUCCACACGACAUUAACCAAAU